Molecule: ribosomal RNA, 463 nt
Filed under: uncultured bacterium
Lineage: Bacteria
Description: partial 16S ribosomal RNA
Rfam family: Bacterial small subunit ribosomal RNA
Source: RNAcentral
GACGAACGCUGGCGGCACGCCUAACACAUGCAAGUCGAACGGACUUAAAAGAGCUUGCUUUUUUAAGUUAGUGGCGGACGGGUGAGUAACACGUGAGCAACCUGCCUCUGAGAGGGGGAUAGCUUCUGGAAACGGAUGGUAAUACCCCAUAAAAUAUAAAUAUCGCAUGAUAGAUAUAUCAAAGAAAUUCGCUCAGAGAUGGGCUCGCGUCUGAUUAGAUAGUUGGUGAGGUAACGGCUCACCAAGUCGACGAUCAGUAGCCGGACUGAGAGGUUGAACGGCCACAUUGGGACUGAGACACGGCCCAGACUCCUACGGGAAGCAGCAGUGGGGAAUAUCGCACAAUGGAGGGAACUCUGAUGCAGCGAUGCCGCGUGGAGGAAGAAGGUUUUCGGAUUGUAAACUCCUUUUAUCAGGGACGAUAAUGACGGUACCUGAAGAAAAAGCUCCGGCUAACUACGUG